This 683-nucleotide unclassified non-coding RNA is filed under the name uncultured bacterium. RNAcentral's name for it is "partial contains 16S ribosomal RNA, 16S-23S ribosomal RNA intergenic spacer, and 23S ribosomal RNA". The stretch from base 552 to 683 matches the Rfam family "Bacterial large subunit ribosomal RNA", at positions 1 to 131 of the family's 2925-position model. The record is from RNAcentral.
UGCGGCUGGAUCCCCUCCUUUCUAGAGAAAACCGCGUCGUUCUAGCGCCCACACCUAUCGGCUGUGCAGCAUGAAAUGCGGACGUGCGAGCCGGCCGGAGGGUCUGUAGCUCAGUUGGUUAGAGCACACGCUUGAUAAGCGUGGGGUCGGUGGUUCAAAUCCACCCAGACCCACCAAUACCAACUGCAACGAUUAGAACCGGCAAAGAAGAACCAACUUCGCCGGGGCCAUAGCUCAGCUGGGAGAGCGCCUGCUUUGCAAGCAGGAGGUCACCGGUUCGAUCCCGGUUGGCUCCACCAGGAUGCGCAUUUCUGUUCUCGAUGAAUGGCCUAAUGUCCGCGCGCGGACGUUUGGCGAUUCAUUGUUUCGGCUGCUCUUUAACAAUUCGGAAGAAGUGAAGCGAAUCCGGUUUUCUCAGACCGGGUUCGUCUGGGUAUGAGAUUGCAUUAGAAGCAUUGAGCUCGAGACCUAGUCCGUCUCGAUGCUCGCCAAGCGCGAUCCGAAGACUCUGGUUUUGAAAACACUGCGCCGAGCGGUGCUCAGGGUUAUAGGGUCAAGUGAACAAGUGCAUGUGGUGGAUGCCUUGGCGACUACAGGCGAUGAAAGACGUUGCAGCCUGCGAUAAGCCACGGGGAGCUGGCAAGCGAGCUUUGAUCCGUGGAUGUCCGAAUGGGGAAACCCGG